RNAcentral lists this ribosomal RNA (252 nucleotides) under uncultured bacterium. RNAcentral's name for it is "partial 16S ribosomal RNA". It matches the Rfam family "Bacterial small subunit ribosomal RNA", at positions 524 to 776 of the family's 1533-position model. The record is from RNAcentral.
UACGUAGGGGGCAAGCGUUGUCCGGAAUUAUUGGGCGUAAAGCGCGCGCAGGCGGUUCAUUAAGUCUGGUGUUUAAGGCUGGGGCUCAACCCUGGUUCGCACUGGAAACUGGUGGACCUGAGUGCAGAAGAGGAAAGUGGAAUUCCACGUGUAGCGGUGAAAUGCGUAGAGAUGUGGAGGAACACCAGUGGCGAAGGCGACUUUCUGGGCUGUAACUGACGCUGAGGCGCGAAAGCGUGGGGAGCAAACAGG